AAAUAAUACAACAAUAAUACAUAAAUACACGCAAACAAAAAAAAAAAUGCAUAAACAGAUUACAGCGUAUUAUUUCAAAACAUCUCAUUUCAAUUAUACAUAUACAUAUAUACAUAUAUUUUUUUUUAUGGUAAUUUUAGCGAAUUAAGCAAUGUAAAUCAAUCAGAAGAAUUAAUCAGACUUCAAAAAGAAAAUGAAAAAUUAAGAAAUAAAAUAGAAUCUGAUACAAAUAAAGAAUCAAAGAGAGUGAAAGAAGUUAGUUUAAUAACUUUAUUAUGCAUUCAAGUUGUAUACAAAUUCACACAUAUGUAUAUAUGUAUGGUACACCUAAGUUAGUGAGAAAAUUUAUUUUACAUAUUUUUUUUACGUAACCGUAUUUUUACCCUGUUUUAUUUUAGCUUGAAAAAGAACUCAAGGAUUUGAAAGAAAUAAAUAACAAUUUAAAGAAUGAAGUAUUAAAAGACACAAAUAAUAACAACGCUCAAACUAAUCCACAACAGGAGAAAUAUGAAGCACAAAAUGUAAAAAUAUCACACUCUUUUUGUAAAGAAUAUUUUUUUUUGUUUAUUUUAUAUAUAUUUUUUUAAAUAGAUACGUUUAUUUUAUAUAUUUUUUUUAGAUAGAUACGUUUAUCUUAUAUUUAUUUUUUUAUAUACUUAUCAAUUUAUUUACUAACUUUUUUCUAAUGUUAUUUGUGUUUUGGCUGCAGGAAAAAAUCAUCAAAUUAGAAGCUGAGCUAUUAAUUGAAAAAAAAAAAUAGUACAAUUAUUGAAGAAACGACUAAAAAUAAAUUAACAAAGGAAUUUAAUGCUGCAUUGCAAAUUUUUAAAGAACAAUUACAAAUUAGGGAAAAGGAAACUGAAUAUUACAAAGAAACAAUGAAAACACAGAUAGAUACUUUUAAAGACGAACAAAAAUUAUUAAGCGAUAUUAUUCACAACUUAGGCCUAAAAUAUAAACAAUUACAAACUUAUAAUCUUUGUUUAAAGAAUGAAAUUACAGGAAUUAAAUUAAGGUAUUAUUUCACAUUUUAUUAUUAUAUUUUAUUUUUUUUUACUUGUUAAACACAUAAAAUGCUUCGUACAUAUAAACAUUUUCUCUAUGACAUAUUAUUUUAUUUUGUUUUUUUUUUAAUAUAUAUAGAACCAAAGCUUGUACAAAUUCCGACAACAAAUAAAAUCCCAGUUUUAUACA
RNAcentral lists this long non-coding RNA (1194 nucleotides) under Piliocolobus tephrosceles (Ugandan red Colobus). RNAcentral's name for it is "lncRNA (ENSPTEG00000003318.1)". The record is from RNAcentral. Lineage: Eukaryota; Metazoa; Chordata; Mammalia; Primates; Cercopithecidae.